GUCCUGGCAGUAAACGGUGCGCGUUUGGUGUGGGAGGAUUCGACCCCUUCUGUGCCGGAGCUAACGCGUUAAACGCGCCGCCUGGGGAGUACGGUCGCAAGAUUAAAACUCAAAGAAAUUGACGGGGCCCGCACAAGCGGUGGAGUAUGUGGCUUAAUUCGAUGCAACGCGAAGAACCUUACCUAGCCUUGACAUGCAUCUCUAAGUCGGUGAAAGCCGGCGACUGUAGCAAUACAGAAUUUGCACAGGUGCUGCAUGGCUGUCGU
This 266-nucleotide ribosomal RNA is filed under the name uncultured bacterium. Its description in RNAcentral is "partial 16S ribosomal RNA". It matches the Rfam family "Bacterial small subunit ribosomal RNA", at positions 793 to 1055 of the family's 1533-position model. The record is from RNAcentral.